RNAcentral lists this ribosomal RNA (758 nucleotides) under Halomonas sp. xn40. Its description in RNAcentral is "bacterial SSU rRNA". It matches the Rfam family "Bacterial small subunit ribosomal RNA", at positions 77 to 838 of the family's 1533-position model. The record is from RNAcentral. Lineage: Bacteria; Pseudomonadati; Pseudomonadota; Gammaproteobacteria; Oceanospirillales; Halomonadaceae.
UUGCUGGAUGCUGACGAGCGGCGGACGGGUGAGUAAUGCAUAGGAAUCUGCCCGAUAGUGGGGGAUAACCUGGGGAAACCCAGGCUAAUACCGCAUACGUCCUACGGGAGAAAGGGGGCUCCGGCUCCCGCUAUGGGAUGAGCCUAUGUCGGAUUAGCUAGUUGGUGAGGUAACGGCUCACCAAGGCCACGAUCCGUAGCUGGUCUGAGAGGAUGAUCAGCCACAUCGGGACUGAGACACGGCCCGAACUCCUACGGGAGGCAGCAGUGGGGAAUAUUGGACAAUGGGGGCAACCCUGAUCCAGCCAUGCCGCGUGUGUGAAGAAGGCCCUCGGGUUGUAAAGCACUUUCAGCGAGGAAGAACGCCUAACGGUUAAUACCCGCUAGGAAAGACAUCACUCGCAGAAGAAGCACCGGCUAACUCCGUGCCAGCAGCCGCGGUAAUACGGAGGGUGCAAGCGUUAAUCGGAAUUACUGGGCGUAAAGCGCGCGUAGGUGGCUUGAUAAGCCGGUUGUGAAAGCCCCGGGCUCAACCUGGGAACGGCAUCCGGAACUGUCAAGCUAGAGUGCAGGAGAGGAAGGUAGAAUUCCCGGUGUAGCGGUGAAAUGCGUAGAGAUCGGGAGGAAUACCAGUGGCGAAGGCGGCCUUCUGGACUGACACUGACACUGAGGUGCGAAAGCGUGGGUAGCAAACAGGAUUAGAUACCCUGGUAGUCCACGCCGUAAACGAUGUCGACCAGCCGUUGGGUGCCUAGCGCA